UACGUAGGGGGCAAGCGUUGUCCGGAUUUAUUGGGCGUAAAGAGCGUGUAGGCGGUUUGGUAGGUCCGCUGUGAAAACUCGAGGCUCAACCUCGAGACGCCGGUGGAAACCAUCAGACUAGAGUCCGGAAGAGGAGAGUGGAAUUCCUGGUGUAGCGGUGAAAUGCGCAGAUAUCAGGAGGAACACCGGUGGCGAAGGCGGUGGGCUGGGCCGGCACUGACGCUGAGGAGCGAAAGCGUGGGGAGCGAACAGG
This 253-nucleotide ribosomal RNA is filed under the name uncultured bacterium. RNAcentral's name for it is "partial 16S ribosomal RNA". It matches the Rfam family "Bacterial small subunit ribosomal RNA", at positions 524 to 776 of the family's 1533-position model. The record is from RNAcentral.